GCAGCAAACGGCCUUUUGGAUAAGAUCAAGUGUAGUAUCUGUUCUUAUCAGUUUAACAUCUGAUAUGUCCUCCAUGUGAGACCUGCAUAUUAAAUGGGUUUUUAGCACUGGGAGCUGAAAGAGGGGCUUACUCCUUUUUCUCCACAUGUUGACCUGGCACUGCAGUGUUGCUGAGAAUGGUGCACCUUUC
Amphiprion ocellaris (clown anemonefish) is the source of this 190-nucleotide small nuclear RNA. Its record names the gene U2. It matches the Rfam family "U2 spliceosomal RNA". Rfam says of the family: U2 is a small nuclear RNA (snRNA) component of the spliceosome (involved in pre-mRNA splicing). Complementary binding between U2 snRNA (in an area lying towards the 5' end but 3' to hairpin I) and the branchpoint sequence (BPS) of the intron results the bulging out of an unpaired adenosine, on the BPS, which initiates a nucleophilic attack at the intronic 5' splice site, thus starting the first of two transesterification reactions that mediate splicing. Lineage: Eukaryota; Metazoa; Chordata; Actinopteri; Pomacentridae. The record is from Ensembl.